This is a long non-coding RNA of Mesocricetus auratus (golden hamster), 374 nucleotides long. RefSeq lists it as uncharacterized. The record is from RefSeq and is a predicted model, not a curated record. Lineage: Eukaryota; Metazoa; Chordata; Mammalia; Rodentia; Cricetidae. The transcript has 3 exons.
CAAGAGGUUUCACCCUAAUUCCUGGGUGAGGUGCUCCUGUCUCCUCUCCUGUCACAGUUCUCACUGAGCACAGCCUCCACUGAUGUUAUACUGCAUAUCCCCUGCUGCUGGUAUCUGCCUACCUCGUGGCAAAGGUGGCAAGACAACCAACGCCUGGUUAUCAGGAAGCAAGGCCAACUGUUUGAGUGCACUGAAGGUAAACCUGCGGAGUGGCUUGGGUGUUACUUUGGAGUACUGAGAAUGGCACCCAGGGCUUCGCAUCUGUUGGGGAAAUGCUCCACCACCAAGCUAUCCCUCCAUCCUAAUCUACUAAGUGUUUUGUUUUCUUUUUCCAAUUACCCAAGAGUUUAUUUAAACUAAGAAAAGGAUCAUAA